This 253-nucleotide ribosomal RNA is filed under the name uncultured bacterium. Its description in RNAcentral is "partial 16S ribosomal RNA". It matches the Rfam family "Bacterial small subunit ribosomal RNA", at positions 524 to 776 of the family's 1533-position model. The record is from RNAcentral.
UACGUAGGUGGCGAGCGUUGUCCGGAAUUACUGGGCGUAAAGCGCGUGUAGGCGGAUAUAUAAGUCAGGUGUGAAAUCCCUUGGCUUAACUGAGGAAGUGCAUUUGAAACUGUAUAUCUUGAGUACGAUAGAGGAGAGUGGAAUUCCCAGUGUAGAGGUGAAAUUCAUAGAUAUUGGGAAGAACACCGGUGGCGAAGGCGGCUCUCUGGAUCGAUACUGACGCUGAUACGCGAAAGCGUGGGGAGCAAACAGG